RNAcentral lists this ribosomal RNA (256 nucleotides) under uncultured bacterium. Its description in RNAcentral is "partial 16S ribosomal RNA". It matches the Rfam family "Bacterial small subunit ribosomal RNA", at positions 524 to 776 of the family's 1533-position model. The record is from RNAcentral.
UACGUAGGUGGCAAGCGUUGUCCGGAAUUAUUGGGCGUAAAGCGCGCGCAGGCGGUUCUUUAAGUCUGAUGUGAAAGCCCCCCGGCUCAACCGGGGGAGGGUCAUUGGAAAACUGGGGAACUUGAGUGCAGAAGAGAAGAGCGGAAUUCCACGUGUAGCGGUGAAAUGCGUAGAGAUGUGGAGGAACACCAAUGGCGAAGGCAGCUCUCUGGGACGGUACUGACACUGAGACGCGAAAGCGUGGGGAGCGAACAGG